AGAGUAUUUGGUGGAUGCCUUGGGUCUGAAAGUCGAUGAAGGACGCGAUUACCUGCGAUAAGCUUCGUGGAGUUGGAAAUAAACUAUGAUACGGAGAUUUCCGAAUGGGGUAACCUAACUGAGCAAACCUCAGUUGCAUUUUGAUGAAUCCAUAGUCAAAUUAGCGAGACACGUUGCGAAUUGAAACAUCUUAGUAGCAACAGGAAAAGAAAAUAAAUAAUGAUUUCGUCAGUAGUGGCGAGCGAAAGCGAAAGAGCCCAAACCUGUAAAAAGGGGUUGUAGGACAUCUUACAUUGAGUUACAAAAUUUUAUGAUAGUAGAAGAAGUUGGAAAGCUUCAACAUAGAAGGUGAUAUUCCUGUAUACGAAAUCAUAAAAUCUCAUAGAUGUAUCCUGAGUAGGGCGGGGCACGUGAAACCCUGUCUGAAUCUGCCGGGACCACCCGGUAAGGCUAAAUACUAAUCAGACACCGAUAGUGAACUAGUACCGUGAGGGAAAGGUGAAAAGAACCCCGAGAGGGGAGUGAAAUAGAUUCUGAAACCAUUUACUUACAAGUAGUCAGAGCACGUUAAAGUGUGAUGGCGUACAUCUUGCAGUAUGGGCCGGCGAGUUAUGUUAAUAUGCAAGGUUAAGCAGAAAAAAGCGGAGCCGUAGGGAAACCGAGUCUGAAUAGGGCGACUUUAGUAUAUUGGCAUAUACCCGAAACCAGGUGAUCUAUCCAUGAGCAGGUUGAAGCUUAGGUAAAACUAAGUGGAGGACCGAACCGUAGUACGCUAAAAAGUGCCCGGAUGACUUGUGGAUAGCGGUGAAAUUCCAAUCGAACCUGGAGAUAGCUGGUUCUCUUCGAAAUAGCUUUAGGGCUAGCGUAUAGUAUUGUUUAAUGGGGGUAGAGCACUGAAUGUGGAAUGGCGGCAUCUAGCUGUACUGACUAUAAUCAAACUCCGAAUACCAUUAAAAUUAAGCUAUGCAGUCGGAACGUGGGUGAUAACGUCCACGCUCGCGAGGGAAACAACCCAGAUCGUCAGCUAAGGUCCCAAAAUUGUGUUAAGUGAGAAAGGUUGUGAGAUUUCAUAAACAACUAGGAAGUUGGCUUAGAAGCAGCCACCUUUUAAAGAGUGCGUAAUUGCUCACUAGUCAAGAGAUCUUGCGCCAAUAAUGUAACGGGACUCAAACACAAUACCGAAGCUACGGGCACAUUAUGUGCGUUAGGAGAGCGUUUUAAUUUCGUUGAAGUCAGACCGUGAGGACUGGUGGAGAGAUUAAAAGUGAGAAUGCCGGCAUGAGUAACGAUUCGAAGUGAGAAUCUUCGACGCCUAUUGGGAAAGGUUUCCUGGGCAAGGUUCGUCCACCCAGGGUUAGUCAGGGCCUAAGAUGAGGCAGAAAUGCAUAGUCGAUGGACAACAGGUUAAUAUUCCUGUACUUGGUAAAAGAAUGAUGGAGUGACGAAAAAGGAUAGUUCUACCACUUACUGGAUUGUGGGGUAAGCAACAAGAGAGUUAUAUAGGCAAAUCUGUAUAGCAUAAUCUUGAGUUGUGAUGCAUAGUGAAGACUUCGGUCGAGUAACGAAUUGAAUGAUUUCAUGUUUCCAAGAAAAGCUUCUAGUGUUAAUUUUUUAUCAACCUGUACCGAGAACGAACACACGUUCCCAAGAUGAGUAUUCUAAGGCGAGCGAGAAAACCAAUGUUAAGGAACUCUGCAAAAUAACCCCGUAAGUUCGCGAGAAGGGGCGCCUAUUUUUAAUAGGCCACAGAAAAUAGGGGGGGCAACUGUUUAUCAAAAACACAGCUCUCUGCUAAGUUGUAAAACGACGUAUAGAGGGUGAAGCCUGCCCAGUGCCCGAAGGUUAAACGGAGAUGUUAGCUUACGCAAAGCAUUAAAGUGAAGCCCGGGUGAACGGCGGCCGUAACUAUAACGGUCCUAAGGUAGCGAAAUUCCUUGUCAACUAAUUAUUGACCUGCACGAAAGGCGCAAUGAUCUCCCUACUGUCUCAACAUUGGACUCGGUGAAAUUAUGGUACCAGUGAAAACGCUGGUUACCCGCAUCAAGACGAAAAGACCCCGUGGAGCUUUACUAUAACUUCGUA
RNAcentral lists this ribosomal RNA (2082 nucleotides) under Pyricularia oryzae. Its description in RNAcentral is "bacterial LSU rRNA". It matches the Rfam family "Bacterial large subunit ribosomal RNA", at positions 14 to 2116 of the family's 2925-position model. The record is from RNAcentral. Lineage: Eukaryota; Fungi; Ascomycota; Sordariomycetes; Magnaporthales; Pyriculariaceae.